This 29-nucleotide non-coding RNA is filed under the name Mus musculus (house mouse). The record is from RNAcentral. Lineage: Eukaryota; Metazoa; Chordata; Mammalia; Rodentia; Muridae.
UCGAACUCUUGACAGGUCUCAACCUAAGA